AGCUGCAAGCAGGAGGUGCGGCUUGCGGACGUGUCCAACCCUGAGGCGGUCAAGUUCAUGUUGGACUACAUGUACCACCUGGACUCCGCCAUCUACGAGGACUACGACCCCAGGAGUCAGGAGAUCAACAAGGAUGUGCUCCGCCUCGCGCAGAACUUCAGGCUGCCCGGGCUCACCGAGCGCGCCACG
This 189-nucleotide non-coding RNA is filed under the name Gonyaulax spinifera. The record is from RNAcentral. Lineage: Eukaryota; Dinophyceae; Gonyaulacales; Gonyaulacaceae.